Molecule: long non-coding RNA, 227 nt
Filed under: Elaeis guineensis (African oil palm)
Lineage: Eukaryota; Viridiplantae; Streptophyta; Magnoliopsida; Arecales; Arecaceae
Description: long non-coding RNA (EGUI_LNC032906)
Source: RNAcentral
CUAGGUUUUGAAACUAAUUUGAAUAAAGAGCAGCAUUUUAUAAGGGACAAGUUAUUUAACAUGGUCAACAAAUGUGUGACAAUACUGAUCAUUGAUUCUUUCUUGUGGUUUGAAUACAAGAGGUGACUAAAGCACAAGAUGGCUGCGUCGAACGUAGCAAGACAUAUAGGCCAUUUUUCUGCAUCAAAUCAGGCAAAUGCAAUCGUGCGUGCAUUUCUGAAGGCUAC